UACGUAGGAUGCAAGCGUUGUCCGGAAUUAUUGGGCGUAAAGAGCGCGCAGGCGGUUUGUCAAGUCAGAUGUGAAAGAGGCCGGCUUAACCGGCAAGGGUCAUUUGAAACUGUCAGACUAGAGUGCAGCAGAGGAUAGUGGAAUUCCCGGUGUAGUGGUGAAAUGCGUAGAUAUCGGGAGGAACACCAGUGGCGAAGGCGACUAUCUGGGCUGCAACUGACGCUGAGGCGCGAAGGCUAGGGUAGCAAACAGG
Molecule: ribosomal RNA, 253 nt
Filed under: uncultured bacterium
Lineage: Bacteria
Description: partial 16S ribosomal RNA
Rfam family: Bacterial small subunit ribosomal RNA
Source: RNAcentral